Non-coding RNA from Gossypium hirsutum (cotton), 143 nucleotides. NCBI's taxonomy places the organism in Eukaryota, Viridiplantae, Streptophyta, Magnoliopsida, Malvales, Malvaceae. The record is from Rfam.
UAUUAAAAUUUUCAUCUAUUUCUACUCUUAAAAACUAGCGUGGUAUGAAAUAAUCAGAUAGUUACACUUGACAUGCCUCAUAUACCUCAUGCUAACAUAUGGAGACUAGUUUUUAACAGUAGAAAUGGAUGAAACUUAUAAUA